This 246-nucleotide long non-coding RNA is filed under the name Elaeis guineensis (African oil palm). RNAcentral describes it as "long non-coding RNA (EGUI_LNC000630)". The record is from RNAcentral. Lineage: Eukaryota; Viridiplantae; Streptophyta; Magnoliopsida; Arecales; Arecaceae.
CCCUCCAUGGGCCACGAGCUUUUUCUCCACCUUUUUCUUUUACCAGCCCACCAAAAUUUCCCUUUGCAUUUCUUUUGAGUCCUGCCACCUGUUCGACCCUACACAAUAAGGGACAUAGUCGAGUUAUUCUUCAGGCAAGUUACUGGCUACAGCUUUAGAAGAGGUGGGUGGCUAUUUUAAUGCAUUGUUGGUUCCCUAUUGAGUAUCUAUCAUAACAAAUUAAAUGAGCUAAGGCCUAAUAUAUGG